GCGCCCAUAGCUCAGUUGGAUAGAGCGUUUGUUUGCGGAACAAAAGGUCAGAGGUUCGAAUCCCCUUGGGCGCACCA
Molecule: transfer RNA, 77 nt
Filed under: Minisyncoccota bacterium
Lineage: Bacteria; Bacillati; Minisyncoccota
Description: tRNA-Arg
Rfam family: tRNA
About the family: Transfer RNA (tRNA) molecules are approximately 80 nucleotides in length. Their secondary structure includes four short double-helical elements and three loops (D, anti-codon, and T loops). Further hydrogen bonds mediate the characteristic L-shaped molecular structure. tRNAs have two regions of fundamental functional importance: the anti-codon, which is responsible for specific mRNA codon recognition, and the 3' end, to which the tRNAs corresponding amino acid is attached (by aminoacyl-tRNA synthetases). tRNAs cope with the degeneracy of the genetic code in two manners: having more than one tRNA (with a specific anti-codon) for a particular amino acid; and 'wobble' base-pairing, i.e. permitting non-standard base-pairing at the 3rd anti-codon position.
Source: RNAcentral